AGCUGCAGGAAGUUCUCUUUGGAAGAAGACACAGCUGUUCUCCGUUCAUUUUUCCUUUACUGAGAAGGGCUUGUCCUUCAGUGUCUUGCAGAGUUUGUGUUUCUUCGCUAAUGAAAUGGGCCUUUUCACUCUUCAAGUCUUCCUGUGCACCAAAGGACUCUUACCCUCGAGUGCUGGAAACAGAGCUUCAGGAGAUGGGAAAACCAAGGAGUAGAAAAUCUAAGGAACUUGCUGGAAGUCACUUGGCUAACUGGUGGCAGAGCGGGACUUUAAACCAGGGGCACUAAUGCCACAGCAUAUUCAGAUGAGGAGACUACAACUAAAGACUUGACCGAAUGUACAGCUAG
Non-coding RNA from Leptonychotes weddellii (Weddell seal), 347 nucleotides. Lineage: Eukaryota; Metazoa; Chordata; Mammalia; Carnivora; Phocidae. The record is from RefSeq and is a predicted model, not a curated record.